GAAUAUUGGACAAUGGGCGAAAGCCUGAUCCAGCCAUGCCGCGUGCAGGAUGACGGCCCUACGGGUUGUAAACUGCUUUUAUACGGGAAUAAACCCCUCUACGUGUAGAGGGCUGAAGGUACCGUAAGAAUAAGGAUCGGCUACCUCCGUGCCAGCCGCCGCGGUAAUACGGAGGAUCCAAGCGUUAUCCGGAUUCAUUGGGUUUAAAGGGUCCGCAGGCGGGAUAUUAAGUCAGUGGUGAAAGGCUGUCGCUUAACGAUAGCAUUGCCAUUGAUACUGGUAUUCUUGAGUAUAGUUGAGGUGGGCGGAAUAAGUCAUGUAGCGGUGAAAUGCAUAGAUAUGACUUAGAACACCGAUUGCGAAGGCAGCUCACUAAACUAUUACUGACGCUCAGGGACGAAAGCGUGGGGAGCGAACAGG
This 420-nucleotide ribosomal RNA is filed under the name uncultured bacterium. RNAcentral describes it as "bacterial SSU rRNA". It matches the Rfam family "Bacterial small subunit ribosomal RNA", at positions 359 to 776 of the family's 1533-position model. The record is from RNAcentral.